Molecule: ribosomal RNA, 506 nt
Filed under: uncultured bacterium
Lineage: Bacteria
Description: partial 16S ribosomal RNA
Rfam family: Bacterial small subunit ribosomal RNA
Source: RNAcentral
AGUGAACGCUGGCGGUAGGCCUAACACAUGCAAGUCGAACGGCAGCACAGGAGAGCUUGCUCUCUGGGUGGCGAGUGGCGGACGGGUGAGGAAUACAUCGGAAUCUACUUUUUCGUGAGGGAUAACGUAGGGAAACUUACGCUAAUACCGCAUACGACCUACGGGUGAAAGCAGGGGACCUUCGGGCCUUGCGCGAUUGAAUGAGCCGAUGUCGGAUUAGCUAGUUGGCGGGGUAAAGGCCAACCAAGGCGACGAUCCGUAGCUGGUCUGAGAGGAUGAUCAGCCACACUGGAACUGAGACACGGUCCAGACGCCUACGGGAGGCAGCAGUGGGGAAUAUUGGACAAUGGGCGCAAGCCUGAUCCAGCCAUACCGCGUGGGUGAAGAAGGCCUUCGGGUUGUAAAGCCCUUUUGUUGGGAAAGAAAUCCAGCUGGCUAAUACCCGGUUGGGAUGACGGUACCCAAAGAAUAAGCACCGGCUAACUUCGUGCCAGCCGCCGCCGUAA